This 497-nucleotide ribosomal RNA is filed under the name uncultured bacterium. RNAcentral describes it as "partial 16S ribosomal RNA". It matches the Rfam family "Bacterial small subunit ribosomal RNA", at positions 28 to 507 of the family's 1533-position model. The record is from RNAcentral.
GAUGAACGCUGGCGGCGUGCCUAAUACAUGCAAGUCGAGCGAACGGACGAGAAGCUUGCUUCUCUGAUGUUAUCGGCGGACGGGUGAGUAACACGUGGAUAACCUACCUAUAAGACUGGGAUAACUUCGGGAAACCGGAGCUAAUACCGGAUAAUAUUUUGAACCGCAUGGUUCAAAAGUGAAAGACGGUCUUGCUGUCACUUAUAGAUGGAUCCGCGCUGCAUUAGCUAGUUGGUAAGGUAACGGCUUACCAAGGCAACGAUGCAUAGCCGACCUGAGAGGGUGAUCGGCCACACUGGAACUGAGACACGGUCCAGACUCCUACGGGAGGCAGCAGUAGGGAAUCCUCCGCAAUGGGCGAAAGCCUGACGGAGCAACGCCGCGUGAGUGAUGAAGGUCUUCGGAUCGUAAAACUCUGUUAUUAGGGAAGAACAUAUGUGUAAGUAACUGUGCACAUCUUGACGGUACCUAAUCAGAAAGCCACGGCUAACUACGUG